GGGUUGUGAGGUUAAGCGACUAAGCGUACACGGUGGAUGCCCUGGCAGUCAGAGGCGAUGAAGGACGUGCUAAUCUGCGAAAAGCGUCGGUAAGGUGAUAUGAACCGUUAUAACCGGCGAUGUCCGAAUGGGGAAACCCAGUGCAAUUCGUUGCACUAUCGUUAACUGAAUACAUAGGUUAACGAGGCGAACCGGGGGAACUGAAACAUCUAAGUACCCCGAGGAAAAGAAAUCAACCGAGAUUCCCCCAGUAGCGGCGAGCGAACGGGGAGCAGCCCAGAGUCUGAAUCAGCUUGUGUGUUAGUGGAACGGUCUGGAAAGUCCGACGGUACAGGGUGAUAGUCCCGUACACCAAAAUGCACAGGCUGUGAACUCGAAGAGUAGGGCGGGACACGUGGUAUCCUGUCUGAAUAUGGGGGGACCAUCCUCCAAGGCUAAAUACUCCUGACUGACCGAUAGUGAACCAGUACCGUGAGGGAAAGGCGAAAAGAACCCCGGCGAGGGGAGUGAAAAAGAACCUGAAACCGUGUACGUACAAGCAGUGGGAGCACCUUCGGGUGUGACUGCGUACCUUUUGUAUAAUGGGUCAGCGACUUAUAUUCUGUAGCAAGGUUAACCGUAUAGGGGAGCCGCAGGGAAACCGAGUCUUAACUGGGCGUUAAGUUGCAGGGUAUAGACCCGAAACCCGGUGAUCUAGCCAUGGGCAGGUUGAAGGUUGGGUAACACUAACUGGAGGACCGAACCGACUAAUGUUGAAAAAUUAGCGGAUGACUUGUGGCUGGGGGUGAAAGGCCAAUCAAACCGGGAGAUAGCUGGUUCUCCCCGAAAGCUAUUUAGGUAGCGCCUCGUGAACUCAUCUUCGGGGGUAGAGCACUGUUUCGGCUAGGGGGUCAUCCCGACUUACCAACCCGAUGCAAACUACGAAUACCGAAGAAUGUUAUCACGGGAGACACACGGCGGGUGCUAACGUCCGUCGUGAAGAGGGAAACAACCCAGACCGCCAGCUAAGGUCCCAAAGUCAUGGUUAAGUGGGAAACGAUGUGGGAAGGCACAGACAGCCAGGAUGUUGGCUUAGAAGCAGCCAUCAUUUAAAGAAAGCGUAAUAGCUCACUGGUCGAGUCGGCCUGCGCGGAAGAUGUAACGGGGCUAAACCAUGCACCGAAGCUGCGGCAGCGACACUAUGUGUUGUUGGGUAGGGGAGCGUUCUGUAAGCCUGCGAAGGUGACCUGUGAGGGUUGCUGGAGGUAUCAGAAGUGCGAAUGCUGACAUAAGUAACGAUAAAGCGGGUGAAAAGCCCGCUCGCCGGAAGACCAAGGGUUCCUGUCCAACGUUAAUCGGGGCAGGGUGAGUCGACCCCUAAGGCGAGGCCGAAAGGCGUAGUCGAUGGGAAACAGGUUAAUAUUCCUGUACUUGGUGUUACUGCGAAGGGGGGACGGAGAAGGCUAUGUUAGCCGGGCGACGGUUGUCCCGGUUUAAGCAUGUAGGCUGAUUGUCCAGGCAAAUCCGGAUAAUCAAGGCUGAGGUGUGAUGACGAGGCACUACGGUGCUGAAGUAACAAAUGCCCUGCUUCCAGGAAAAGCCUCUAAGCAUCAGGUAACAUCAAAUCGUACCCCAAACCGACACAGGUGGUCAGGUAGAGAAUACCAAGGCGCUUGAGAGAACUCGGGUGAAGGAACUAGGCAAAAUGGUGCCGUAACUUCGGGAGAAGGCACGCUGGUGUGUAGGUGAAGUCCCUGCGGAUGGAGCUGAGACCAGUCGAAGAUACCAGCUGGCUGCAACUGUUUAUUAAAAACACAGCACUGUGCAAACACGAAAGUGGACGUAUACGGUGUGACGCCUGCCCGGUGCCGGAAGGUUAAUUGAUGGGGUUAUCCGUAAGGAGAAGCUCUUGAUCGAAGCCCCGGUAAACGGCGGCCGUAACUAUAACGGUCCUAAGGUAGCGAAAUUCCUUGUCGGGUAAGUUCCGACCUGCACGAAUGGCGUAAUGAUGGCCAGGCUGUCUCCACCCGAGACUCAGUGAAAUUGAACUCGCUGUGAAGAUGCAGUGUACCCGCGGCAAGACGGAAAGACCCCGUGAACCUUUACUAUAGCUUGACACUGAACAUUGAGCCUUGAUGUGUAGGAUAGGUGGGAGGCUUUGAAGCGUGGACGCCAGUCUGCGUGGAGCCAACCUUGAAAUACCACCCUUUAAUGUUUGAUGUUCUAACGUUGGCCCCUGACCGGGGUUGCGGACAGUGUCUGGUGGGUAGUUUGACUGGGGCGGUCUCCUCCCAAAGCGUAACGGAGGAGCACGAAGGUUAGCUAAUCCUGGUCGGACAUCAGGAGGUUAGUGCAAUGGCAUAAGCUAGCUUGACUGCGAGCGUGACGGCGCGAGCAGGUGCGAAAGCAGGUCAUAGUGAUCCGGUGGUUCUGAAUGGAAGGGCCAUCGCUCAACGGAUAAAAGGUACUCCGGGGAUAACAGGCUGAUACCGCCCAAGAGUUCAUAUCGACGGCGGUGUUUGGCACCUCGAUGUCGGCUCAUCACAUCCUGGGGCUGAAGUAGGUCCCAAGGGUAUGGCUGUUCGCCAUUUAAAGUGGUACGCGAGCUGGGUUUAGAACGUCGUGAGACAGUUCGGUCCCUAUCUGCCGUGGGCGCUGGAGAAUUGAGGGGGGCUGCUCCUAGUACGAGAGGACCGGAGUGGACGCAUCACUGGUGUUCGGGUUGUCAUGCCAAUGGCACUGCCCGGUAGCUAAAUGCGGAAGAGAUAAGUGCUGAAAGCAUCUAAGCACGAAACUUGCCCCGAGAUGAGUUCUCCCUGAGACUUUAAGUCUCCUGAAGGAACGUUGAAGACGACGACGUUGAUAGGCCGGGUGUGUAAGCGCAGCGAUGCGUUGAGCUAACCGGUACUAAUGAACCGUGAGGCUUAACCUUACAACGCCGAAG
Molecule: ribosomal RNA, 2923 nt
Filed under: Klebsiella pneumoniae
Lineage: Bacteria; Pseudomonadati; Pseudomonadota; Gammaproteobacteria; Enterobacterales; Enterobacteriaceae
Description: bacterial LSU rRNA
Rfam family: Bacterial large subunit ribosomal RNA
Source: RNAcentral